CGCGUAGGCGGCGGACCUUGUCGAGUGUGAAAGCCCCGGGCUCAACCUGGGAGGUGCGCUCGAAGCGGGUUUGCUGGAGUUCGGGAGAGGAGCGUGGAAUUCCCAGUGUAGAGGUGAAAUUCGUAGAUAUUGGGAAGAACACCGGUGGCGAAGGCGGCGCUCUGGACCGAGACUGACGCUGAGGCGCGAAAGCGUGGGGAGCAAACAGGAUUAGAUACCCUGGUAGUCCACGCUGUAAACGAUGUGUGCUAGACGUUGGGGAGCGCAGCUCUUCGGUGUCGCAGCAAACGCUUUAAGCACACCGCCUGGGGAGUACGGCCGCAAGGUUAAA
This 331-nucleotide ribosomal RNA is filed under the name uncultured bacterium. Its description in RNAcentral is "bacterial SSU rRNA". It matches the Rfam family "Bacterial small subunit ribosomal RNA", at positions 568 to 898 of the family's 1533-position model. The record is from RNAcentral.